UACGAAGGGGGCUAGCGUUGCUCGGAAUCACUGGGCGUAAAGCGCACGUAGGCGGCUUCUUAAGUCAGGGGUGAAAUCCUGGAGCUCAACUCCAGAACCGCCUUUGAUACUGAGAAGCUUGAGUCCGGGAGAGGUGAGUGGAACUGCGAGUGUAGAGGUGAAAUUCGUAGAUAUUCGCAAGAACACCAGUGGCGAAGGCGGCUCACUGGCCCGGUACUGACGCUGAGGUGCGAAAGCGUGGGGAGCAAACAGG
This 253-nucleotide ribosomal RNA is filed under the name uncultured bacterium. RNAcentral describes it as "partial 16S ribosomal RNA". It matches the Rfam family "Bacterial small subunit ribosomal RNA", at positions 524 to 776 of the family's 1533-position model. The record is from RNAcentral.